GCUUAGAAGCAGCCAUCAUUUAAAGAGUGCGUAAUAGCUCACUAGUCGAGUGACACUGCGCCGAAAAUGUACCGGGGCUAAACAUAUUACCGAAGCUGUGGAUUGUCCUUUGGACAAUGGUAGGAGAGCGUUCUAAGGGCGUCGAAGCAUGAUCGCAAGGACAUGUGGAGCGCUUAGAAGUGAGAAUGCCGGUGUGAGUAGCGAAAGACGGGUGAGAAUCCCGUCCACCGAUUGACUAAGGUUUCCAGAGGAAGGCUCGUCCGCUCUGGGUUAGUCGGGUCCUAAGCUGAGGCCGACAGGCGUAGGCGAUGGAUAACAGGUUGAUAUUCCUGUACCACCUAUGGAUUCGUUUGAGUGAUGGAGUGACGCAGGAGGAUAGGGUAAGCGCGGCGCUGGUCGUCCGCGUCCAAGCAAUAAGAGGGGUCGUGAGGCAAAUCCUUAUGACCAUAACCUCAAGUUGUGAUUGGCGAGGGAAAUUUAAGUACCGAAGUUCCUGAUUUCACACUGCCAAGAAAAGCUUCUAGCGAGAAUCCGGGUGCCCGUACCGCAAACCGACACAGGUAGGCGAGGAGAGAAUCCUAAGGUGAGCGAGAGAACUCUCGUUAAGGAACUCGGCAAAAUGACCCCGUAACUUCGGGAGAAGGGGUGCUCU
RNAcentral lists this ribosomal RNA (652 nucleotides) under Aplanochytrium sp. PBS07. Its description in RNAcentral is "partial Bacterial large subunit ribosomal RNA". It matches the Rfam family "Bacterial large subunit ribosomal RNA", at positions 1104 to 1754 of the family's 2925-position model. The record is from RNAcentral. Lineage: Eukaryota; Bigyra; Thraustochytrida; Thraustochytriidae.